CAGUUUCUAUUUGUUGUGGGCAGAUAAAGUGAAUAUGGCUAUCUAUUCCCCCCGCAGUUAAAAUCAUUCCUUCGCCAGCAACAACUUCAGUACCAGCGCCGAUAAUAAUAUCUACGUUGUCUUGAAUAUAAGGAUUUCCUGCUUUACCAAUUUUAUAAAUAUGCCCAUCUUUAAUACCAAUAUCUGCUUUAACAAUUCCCCACCAAUCGAGAAUUAAAGCAUUAGUAAUUACUAAAUCUACUGCACCAUCAGCAUUAGAAAUAGGAGAUUGUCCCAUCCCGUCUCUA
RNAcentral lists this small RNA (287 nucleotides) under Crinalium epipsammum PCC 9333. Its description in RNAcentral is "5' ureB small RNA". It matches the Rfam family "5' ureB small RNA". The record is from Rfam by way of RNAcentral. Lineage: Bacteria; Bacillati; Cyanobacteriota; Cyanophyceae; Gomontiellales; Gomontiellaceae.